RNAcentral lists this long non-coding RNA (16077 nucleotides) under Nicotiana tabacum (common tobacco). RNAcentral describes it as "long non-coding RNA (NTAB_LNC000304)". The record is from RNAcentral. Lineage: Eukaryota; Viridiplantae; Streptophyta; Magnoliopsida; Solanales; Solanaceae.
UAUUGUUCGGGCUUGAGUUUGGAUUCCUAAACGGCUAAACGAAGCUUUUGUUUGGUUUGCUGCUCCGUAGAAGGUCAGUGUACACUGACCCUCCCUUUUCUUUCGAUUAUUUGUGUUUAUUUUGUGAUUCUAAUGUCUUCUCUGUUGACUUCCUUUUGUUCAUGAUAUAUGUUAGUAAUCUUAUGAUUGCCUGCUAUGUUUUCUGCUGUUCUUAUUGAUCUAAAAUGAUUAUUCUCCUGAUAACUUAUGAUUGCCCUAGUAUUGCUAGCUAAUCUGUGCUAAUGAAAUCCGUGACUUAACUAGAUAACAUUUGCUAUAGUAGAUGAUAUAAAUCCUGUUGAACUCUUGUCAUUAGCUAAAAGACUUCUGAUGUUUUCUAUGACUGUUUUGCUAACCAUGCCACCAUGCUUAUCUAACUUGAUUAAGCUAUGAUCUUAAACUCUUUCUUGACAUCCUGUUGAGAGUUUAUAUCUGCACAUCUGUGCUUAGUUUAGUGAUGUUGUACCACCUUUGAUUCAACUAAAUGACCUUCAUCAUAGUAUCCAUCCCACACACUUAACCUACCUGUUUGACCAACUAAUCUGUUACUAUAACUAGGCCUGCUGUAUAUACUUAAUAACUUACAUAUACUUGUUACUAUAACCCGAACUCCUGUAAUGAAUUCAUCAUCUUCAUCAUUUUAUUAUCUGCUCGUUUGAUGUGUCCUGUAAUCAUGAAAUCCUGUAGAAGCUUCCUUGCGUAUAAGUUGAGUGAAAUAUGUUAACUUUCCAUGCUUUUGUUUGCCCAGUUGUGUUCAUAAAAUUCCUGUUUGCUUUCAUAUAGGAAAGACUCAUGCCUAAGCCACUGUAUUCUUCACUUGGAAUUGCCUUGUAAAAAUAGAAUUUAAAGCUCACCAGCUUUAACAACUUAACAAUGUAGAAUGUGAGAUGGAAAGUUACUGUUGUCACUCAUAGGCUCAAACAAAUCCAUUAAUGCCUGCUUAUCCUGUUAAAAUGAACAUUGUUUCAUAUCUAGUUGAUGUCUUCUGUCUGUGUAGAUUUAGUUAUGAAUUUGGAAUAUUUGACUGAUGAUCUGAUGGACUAGUGAUCAUAUCACCAAGUUUAGACUAACUUAAAAUUGACUACUUGGCCUGCUUUGAUGCCUUCACUUAGUUAAACAGGGCUGUUAAUAUAGGCCUUUGGUGUAGUGAGGCCUUAAUCAUAUGUAUGUUUGCUCUUGAUUGUUUUCUCAAGACCAUUAUAAUGACUGUUGCUAUCUCGUAUACUUGGAUAAAGGUCCUGAAAUGUUAAGCCUACUGAAACUAAUUAGUACAUGCAUUUUCUUCUAUCAUUCACCCGUGCUCAGAUUAUCCAAUUAGAUGCCCCCCCUGAACUUAUAUUAGUCUACUGAUAGUUUUCCAUUAACUCUCCUUAUUGUACAUAUGUGACAUCUUCUUUAAAUAUUAUGACAUAUGUUAAUAAUGGUCAUUGAUACUAUAAGUGCUUGCAUCAAUCUGUCUUCUUGUGUUUAAGUUCUGAUCCUAAGGUUAAUAAUGUAAUCCUAAGGUGUUCAUGUCCCUGCAUUUUGAAUGAUGUUUUCUGUAACAUUUGAACUUCUUGUAAACUUGAGCCUUUUAUGUUUACUGCUGUUAAUUACUAAAGUGAAUAUCUCAUUUGUAACUAAACCUUUGGAGAAGAGUUAAUGUGAGUGAUUAAGGGUAUUUAGGUUGGAACCUAGUUUGCGGUUAACGUGCCCUUCCAGGACACAAACACUGCUCGUGGUCCCUAAGACCCUCGUGAACUCUGAUGUGCCAGGGAUUCAAAGGGUACCUUGUCCAUGAAUAAGGUUUUUAUCCAAUCUCUUGGUCAUUGACUCUCACUAAUCCUUUUAGGAUUAAUACAAAUAAAAGUGGGUUUUCACUCUAAUCAUAUCUAGUUUAUACAACUUUAUCUUGUUGGACCUCAUGUUGCCUUUACUGUACUCUUUAAUAAUGCCUAUUUGUUACCAUUUUAUUUUGUUGGGCUUCAUGUGGCAUCAUUAUUGUCUUCUCUAUCUCUAUGUAUGCAUGUUUGAAUUUGGGCGUGCCGAGUUUCUUUGAAACUCAAAGCCCAAGUUCCGGUCUAACGUGGCAUCAUUAUUGUCUUCUCUAUCUCUAUGUAUGGAUGAGUUUGGAUAGAAUAAAAUCUAACAGGCUUGCUCGGUCGGGUUCACUCGGUUGAGCGCCGGUUGCGCUCCUCGGUUUUGGGGCGUGACAAUAAAGAUGCUCAAAGAGCUGACAAAACGGAUAGAAUCAGGGUAGAAGAAAAUCGAAACUAAUGACGAAGAGGUAGAAACCUACAAUUCAAGGGUAGACCAGAUCCUAGGAGCACCGCCAAUAUUGAAAGGCCUGGAUUCCAAGAAGUUCGUGCAAAAAUCUUUUCCUUCGACUGCGGCUCCGAAGCCGAUUCCUAAGAAACCUUUUUCGCAUGCCCGAGAUUGCUAAUUAUAAUGGAACGACCGACCCAAAUGAGCAUGUAACCUCUUACACAUGUGCCAUCAAAGGAAAUGACUUAGAGGAUGAUGAUACCGAGUCUAUCCUAUUGAAGAAGUUCGGAGAGACCCUGUCAAAAGGGGCUAUGAUAUGGUAUUACAACUUACCUCCUAAUUCUAUUGACUCAUUUGCUAUGCUUGCGGAUUCUUUCGUGAAAGGACACGCCAGAGACAUCAAGGUCGAAACCAGGAAAUCGGACCUUUUCAAAGUAAAAUAGAAGGAUAACGAGAUGCUCAGAGAGUUCGUGUCCCAGUUUCAAAUGAAACAAAUAGACCUGCCACAUGUCGCUGAUGAUUGGGCCGUUCAGGCUUUCACCCAAGGCCUCAACGUUCGAAGCUCGGUGGCUUCACAACAGUUGAAAUAAAAGCUGAUAGAAUAUCUGGCUAUAAUUUGGGCCGACGUGGAUAACCGAUAUUAAUCGAAGAUCAGAGUGGAAGAUGAUCAACUCAGGUCCCCUUCGGAGUCUAUUUAUCCCGUCAGAAACAUUGAUAGAGUCAAGAGAGACAUCGAUCAUGAACUGAGACCAAACAGGGAUCGGUACCAGCCGUAUAAUGGAGAGCGAAGAAGCAGUAGGUCCGGGCGGAACUCUAUGAGAAAUGAAAGGAGAAGUGCUCGAGGUCAGAGCAACCGGGGACUCAUGAGCAAAAUCAGCUUCGACAGGCCCAUCGGGCCUAAAGAAGCACUGAGGUUAUCAGAAUACAACUUUAAUGUCGAUGCUGCCGCCAUUGUAUCAGCUAUCGGACCCAUCAAAGAUACCAAAUGGCCUUGACCUCUACAAUCCGAUCCAACCAAAGGGAUCCUAACCAUAUGUGUAAAUAUCACGGCACUCACGAUCACAGAACGGAGGAUUGUCGACAGUUGAGAGAGGAAGUAGCCCGACUAUUUAACAGCGGGCAUCUUCAAGAAUUCCUGAGCGACCGAGCCAAGAAUCAUUUCAGGAAUAGGGAUUCUAACAAACAAACCGAACAAGAAGAACCUCAACACAUCAUUAACAUGAUCAUUGGUGGGGUCAAUGUCUCUCAGGGCCGAUGUUGAAACAUACCAAAGUGUCCAUCACAAGGGAGAAACGAACUCGAGAUUACAUACCAAAAGGAACCUUGUCUUUCAAUGACGAGGAUGCGGAAGGGAUUGUACAAUCCCACAAUGAUACACUGGUAAUAUCUGUACUCGUAAGUAAAUUUUGGGUUAAACGUGUGUUAAUUGAUCCAGGUAGCUCGGCUAACAUCAUCCGAUCGAUGGCCGUAAAGCAGCUCGGUCUACAAGAUCAAAUCAUGCAUGCAGUCCGAGUUCUAAAUGGAUUCAACAUGGCAUGUGAAACUACUAAGGGUGAGAUAACGUUAUCGGUGAACAACGCCGGGACCAUCCAGGAAGCUAAGUUUUAUGUGAUCAAAGGAGACAUGAGGUACAAUGCUUUGCUCGGAAGGCCAUGGAUCUACAAUAUAAGAGCAGUACCCUUAACUAUGCACCAAGUGUUAAAAUUCCCAACACCUGGCGGAAUUAAAACAAUCUUCGGAGAACAACCAGCCGCAAAGGAGAUGUUUGCGGCCGAAGAGGCAAUUCCGAUAUCCGCACUUGCAAUGACAAAGGGGUCGAGUUCGGUCACAAAGCUAGAAACUAAAUAGCAAUUACCGACACCAGCUCCGACCGAAUCGGAGAAACAAGGGACUGAUGAAGACGAUGAUUAUGCUUACGGGGUACCUAGGUCUUUUAUAUCCUCCGAUGAUUCUGACGCCACUAAAUCGAUGAUUGAGGAGCUAGAACAAGUCAUAUUGGUCGAGCACCUACCCGAUCGAAAGGUAAACCUAGGCACGGGGUUAAAUCCCGAGCCCAGGAAAAAACUCAUUCAGUCUAGCUAACAUAGAUUGUUUCGCUUGGUCCCACCUUGACAUGAUAGGGAUCCCGCCAGAAAUAACCACUCAUAAUCUAAGCCUGGACCCGAAAUCCCAUCCGGUGAAGCAGAAGAGGAGACCCCAGUCCGAGAUCAAACAUGCUUUCAUCAAGGACGAGGUAUCUAAACUCCUUAAAAUAGGUUCCAUUCGGGAGGUUAAAUACCCGGAUUAGUUAGCGAACGUAGUGGUAGUCCCUAAAAAGGGAAUAAAUUAAGAAUGUGUGUAGACUAUAAGGAUGUGAAUAAGGCAUGUCCCAAGGACUCUUUCCCUUUUCCCAACAUCGAUCGCAUGAUCGAUGCCACGGCCAGCCACGAGAUCCUCAGUUUUCUCGAUGCCUACUCUGGGUAUAACCAAAUACGGAUAGACCUGGGUGACCAGGAAAAAACCUCCUUCAUCACUAAAUACGGCACCUACUGUUAUAACGUGAUAUCAUUCGGGUUAAAAAAAAUGCCGGUUCCACUUACCAACGCCUAAUAAAUCGGAUGUUCGAAGAGUAAAUAGGAAAAUUAGUGGAGGUUUAUAUUAACGAUAUGUUGGUUAAGUCCUUGUGAGCAGAGGACCAUUUGAAACAUUUGCAGGAAACCUUCAGCAUAUUGAAGAAAUACAGUAUGAAGCUGAACCUGGAGAAAUAUGCGUUUGGAGUUGGGUCAGGUAAAUUCCUCGGAUUCAUGGUAUCCAACCGGGGAAUCGAGAUCAAACCCGACAAGAUCAAAGUCAUCGAAUAUAUCACGAUUGUGGACAAUGUGAAGUCGUAAAAAGAUUAACCGAGCGCAUAGCUGCCCUUCGGCGAUUCAUCUCGAGGUCCUCCGACAAGAGCUACCGGUUCUUCACACUAUUGAAGAAGAAGAAUAACUUCUCAUGGACCCCGAAUGCCAACAGGCCUUGGAGGAACUCAAGCAGUUUCUAUCGAGCCCACCGCUGCUCCACACGCCGAAGAUAGACAAACAACUAUACAUGUAUUUGGCAGUAUCGGAGAUAGCUAUAAGUGGAGUCAUGGUCCAGGAAGAGCAAGGUACGCAAUUUCCAAUUUACUAUGUUAGCAGGACCCUAGGUGAGGCCAAAACUAGGUAUCCUCACCUAGAAAAGUUGGUGCUCGCUUUGCUAAGCGCCUUUGGAAAGCUAAACCAUACUUCCAGUGUCACCCCAUAUGUGUCGUGACUACUUACCCAUUAAGAAUUGUUAUGCAUAAGCCCGAGCUCUCGGGCCGGUUGGCCAAAUGGAUCAUGGAAAUCAGUGGGUACGAUAUUGAAUAUCAACCCCUGACCGCCAUUAAGUCUCAAAUUUUGUCAGACAUUGUGGCCGACUUUACGCCAACCCUAAUAUUCGAGGUCGAAAGAGAGUUAUUAAUCAACUCAGGAACCUCCUUGGGGAUUUGGACCCUCUUUACGGACGGCGCCUCAAAUGCAAAAGGGUCCGGACUUGGCAUCGUAUUGAAGCCACCAAUAGGCAACGUAGUUAGACAAUCUAUUAGGACUGUGAAAUAGACUAACAAUGAGGUCGAGUAUGAGGCCAUGAUUGCAGGUCUAGAACUAGCCAAAAGUUUGGGGGAAGAGGUAAUUGAAGCUAAGUGCGACUCCCUCCUUGUGGUAAACCAAGUUAAUGGGACGUUCGAGAUCAGAGAAGAACGAGAAUGCAAAGGUACCUGGAUAAAUUGCAGGUAACAUUACAUCAAUUCAAAGAAUGGACUUUGCAAUACGUACCUCAGGAUCAAAAUAGUGAGGCCGAUGCCCUCGCUAACCUAGGGUCAUCGGUGGAGGACGACGAGUUCAACCCGGGGGCGGUAGUAUAACUUAUGAGAUCGGUAGUGGAAGAAGGUCAUGCCGAGAUUAACUCAACGAGCCUAACUUGGGAUUGGAGAAAUAAAUAUAUAGAAUACCUGAAGAUCGGUAAACUGCCGUCAGAUCCUAAGGAAUUGAGGGCCCUACGUACAAAGACAGCUCGGUUUAGCCUGUCCGAAGAUGGAACCCUUUUAAGAAGAACAUUCGAUGGCCCACUCGUGAUAUGCCUAGGACCAGGGGACACCGAGUACGAUUUGAGGGAAAUCCACAAAGGCACCUGUGGAAAUCAUUUAGGCACCGAAUCGUUGGUUCGAAAAGUGAUCAGAGCUGGCUACUACUGGAUCGAUAUGGAAAAGGAUGCGAAGGAGUUCGUACGAAAAUAUGAUGAAUAUCAAAGACACACUCCGAUGAUUCACCAACCCGAGGAGCUGUUGCAUUCGGUUUUGUCGCAAUGGUCGUUCCUGAAGUGGGGAUGGAUAUCGUUGGACCCCUUCCGUGGGCACCCGGUAAGGCUCAAUUUAUAUUGUUUAUGACUGACUAUUUUUCUAAAUGGGUAGAAGCCCAGGCAUAUGAAAAGGUUAGGGAGAAGGAAGUCAUCGAUUGCAUUUGGGACCACAUCAUAUGCUGGUUUGGAAUGCCGGCCGAGAUCGUGUGCGACAUGGGAAACAAAUCAUCGGCAGCAAAGUUAGCAAGUUUCUCAAAGAUCAUAACAUCAAAAGGAUCCUAUCAACACCCUACCACCCUAGUGGGAACGGACAAGCAGAAUCAACCAACAAAAUAAUACUCCAAAACCUCAAGAAGAGAUUGACCGACGCCAAAGAAAAAUGGAAGGAAAUCUUGCCCGAAAUCUUAUGGGCAUACUGUACGACCUCGAAGUCCAGUACCAGAGCCACCUUGUUCUCACUGGUUUAUGAUGCCAAAGCUCUAAUACCAGUCGAAGUCGGAGAACCAAGUCUCAGGUUCUGAUACGCAACCAAGGAAUCGAACGACAAGGAUAUGAACACGAGCCUAGAUCUAUUAGAUGAAAGACGUGAAGAAGCCCUUGUCUGGUUAGCUGCCCAAAAAUAGCGGAUCGAGAGAUAUUACAAUCGAAGGGCUAACCAUUGACACUUCAAUGUCAGGGACUUAGUGUUAAGGAAGGUCACACUAAACACCCGGAACCCAAACGAAGGAAAGCUGGGGCCGAACUGGGAAGGACCUUAUCAAAUUAUCGAGAUCACCGGUAAAGGAUCAUACAAGCUCAGAACAAUGAACGGUGAGCAACUACCCAACAACUAGAACAUAACUCACUUGAAGCGAUACUACUGCUAAGGUACGAUCCCAUUUAUUUCCUUUUAUUUAUUUACAUUACGAACUAACACUUGCAGGCAAUCAUCAAAGAACGAUAUAAUCUUUAGGCCUGAAGGCACGCGUUGCACUCUUUUUCCCUUGAACCGUUUUGUCCCAAAUGGGUUUUCCGGCAAGGUUUUUAACGAGGCAAUAGUAAAUCGUGCUAACUUAGAAUUGAAGGCCGGUUACGAACCGGUAUCGAAAAUCACGACAACAGUAUUUGAGGCCUCUCUACGCUCGGCCCCGAACACUAGGGGCAUCACCCUCGAAUAAUGACUUUAACAAGGAAGGAAACUUUAUGAUUGAAUGGCCUCGAAUCGAUCGACAUGAUUUACUGUAAGGUCCAAACGGUCAAAUUAUCGUGCCGGCAUAGACUGCUCGAGCCCUGGCACAAAACUUGUACACAUGUGUAACUAUUACGCACAAGAAUAAAAAGAAGUUUCUACUUUGCGGGUAAAUAUCUUGUCCCUUAAAGAAUUUCUCUUUUUUCUUUUUUCAUCUUAAGGAAUUUCCUACAUCCGAUCCCUUAAAGGUAUCGAGCCCAAGGGCCACGUUUACCCAGGUCCAAACGAUCACUACCAAUCGGGGACUAUCGUCCAAAAACAAACUCGGACAGCUCGGGCUGAGAAAGCCCGAGGGCACAAGCCCUAUUAGGCAACACCCAAACCUUAAAGGCUACGGCCAUUCCCAUUCGGAAACUAUUAUCUUAGGCUAGUCCGGAUAACUCGGAGUAACAAGCCCACUGGCAAACACCCGAGCUAAAGGCUACGGCCAUAUUAAAAUGGCUCAGAGACGUUCGAGACCCGUAAUAAAAAAUAAGGCCUUCAAAAUUUCAUAACCGGUUCUAAAGGCUACUUUCGGCAAACUAUAAUCCAAAAAAUCAUAAGUAAUUUGGGGUAAAACGUUUCUGGUCAUACCAAACCCCAACGAUGCCUUAAACAAAAUAAUGUCUAAGGCAAGGCCUGUUCGAACCUCCGAACAUGACUUAACUAUUUUAUGCUAAGGCAUUUCGAUCUUUGCAAAACAUAAUGAAUAAAGCAAAGGAAAGCAAAAUUCUUAAACCGUCGAAGGGAAAAACAAAGCCUUGUAUAUUAUAUACUGUCUUUACAAAGGCCAAAUGGCCCUAAAAAAACACAAAAGUACACAAGUACAAAAAAAAACAAAAAAACAAAUAUUUUUUUACAAAGGCAUCUAAAUAGCCCGGUCUUCUCCACCCCCGGGUCCAUCGGAGCCCUCGAAGUCUUCUUCUUCUUCUUCUUUUUCUGGGUAGGUCAACUUCUUGGCCUAGGCCUCGAGCCCCUAAGCGUCUUCAAUCUCAAUCGAUAGAUUAAAACCCCGAGCAUGAAUCUCCUCGAGGCCUCUCUUCGCGACUGCCGCUUCUUAUAAUCAACAAUGCCCUUCAAGCGGUCCUGGGCCGCCUCGGCAUCGGCCUUAUAUUUGGCCACCAUCUAGUCGGCGUCGUCUUUAACCACCGCGGCCGCUAACUUGGUCGUUUCUAGUUCCUUGGCCAUAACUUUUCGAUUUGAGGCAGCCGGACUUAGCCGAGACUGGAGCUCUUCAACCUUUUUGGCCUAUACCUCGACCUUUUCCUUUGCUGCUCGAAGCUGGACUUCGGCGAAAGUCAGUUGAGCCCGGGCAGACUCUUUUUCCGAGGCCAGACGAUCCAUCCUGCCCCUCUAUUCAUCGGUCUCGGCCUUGACAGCAUCCAUCUCAGCUCGCAGUUGAUCGAUUUUUUGUUGGACCUGCGGAUUCCGACCGUUAGUCACCGAGCUUAGCUUUUCGUCACUAGGCUCAAAUAUUUUUACCUGCUCGACCAAGUCGGCAUGCUCCUUUCGAUCCACCUCCAGCUUAGCUCGGAGGCUCUUAACCUCCCCCUCACGUUGCUCACUGAGAAGUUUGUACAUAUCUCUUUUCUUAGUAAGCUCUUUGGCUUCGGCCUCGAGGAGACUCAACUCUUCUCGAUAUCAGAGGAAGGUCUCAUGAUAAAACACCGAGGCCUGCAGAUACAAGAAAAAAUAUUAAGAUCAUUAAGUAACCAAAGCUGGAAAAUGAAAAGGUUUGGUAACACCUUACCCGAUUCAAUGCCUAUUGUGCUUCGUUGAAUAAGCAUGGAGAUUCCACCUCGUUUAUCUUUGACUGAUCUUCAUCAGUCACCAGGCACCGGAGGUAACUAGCUACCCCAACAGGCGUGGAAAGGACCCGGGCGUCCUAUGGAACAGAGAUAAUGAUCGACCGCUUCCGACCGGGAUUGACACUUGGGGUAGGAAAUCGAUUGACCAAUCUCGGGCUCGAGCUAGAUCCUCAUGUCCUCGAGGGUGGACUUCUUCUUGGUACUUCCAAACCACCCAAACGGUGACAUCCUCCGUGGUAAUAGAGUCCACGCUAUCAAAAAAGCUUUUGAGGGGAUCGUUCGCUCCUUGGACCCCCUCAUUUGAACGCUCCUUCGCUGCUUGAGAUUCACCGAACAUUGAGUCCGUGAAUGAAGGAGAUUCUGUUAUAUCGAUGACACCUGAUGGAGCAGAACCGGCGUCUUGAGGGUUCUCGACCCUCACUGAUGCGUCGACCUUUUGAGUUUGGGAAGGGUUGGCCUCUAUCGUCCCCUCUUCGGUUGAUGCCCGUUCUUUAGGGACCGAUGGCUCCCGGGACACUAAAAUUUCCUCCUCUUCCGACUCAUUCUAGAGCCGGUAGAAGGAUUCCGACUCAAGUAUUCGGGAGCUGGAGGUUUCUUUUGGCUUACAGAUAAGCCUCCUCUUUGGUUUCUUUUUCUCCAAGCUCGGGGAACUCUGAGCCCUUUUUCUCUUCUUCUCUUCACCAUGUUUCGGAGCAGGGGACGCAGUGGAAAAAUCAUCACUACCAGAUGGGGGCCUUAUUUGGAUAUCCUUGGGUAAACCUGCAAAGGGAAAUAAAAUAAGUAAGGACUUAAUCAUGCAAAGGGGAAACCAAAUAUCACUUAUGAAAGAGAUCUCACCGUGCGAACGGGCCUCCCAUCGACCCUUUGAAAGCUCGCGCCAUGAGCGCUCAGAAUAAGGCCUUUGCGAUACGAUGCCCUCGACCCACUCCUUGAGUCGAGGAACUGCGUUCGGGAUCCGAGCAACAACUGCACCAUCACAAAACAUCGAUAAGAAGGAAGAAAAAAGGCAUUAAAUAAAACUUUGGAAGCAAAAUUAUAUACUUGCGUUUUAUGUUCCACUUCUCAGGGAACGACAUAUGCUCGACCGGGAUCAAGUCCGAGGUUCUCACUCGGACGAAAUGACCUAGCCAACCUCGAUCCCUAUCUUCAUUGACACUCAAGAAUGCGGCCUUACUAGCCCGACAGGCGAGCUUGAUCAGUCCCCUCUGAUAGAGUCGGGGACUGUAUAAGCGCAUGAGGUGAUCGAUCGUAGAAGGGCACCUUUCAAUAUUGCUUACAAAGAAAUGGAGGAGAAUUACGAUCCUCCAGAAGGAAGGAUGAAUUUGACUGAGGGUUACCUCGUAUCUUUUGCAAAAAUCGACGAUAACCGGGUCCAAGGGGCCCAACAUGAAGGGAUAAGUGUAAACACUUAAGAAUCCCUCGACGUGGGUGGUGAUAGCUUCGUUAGGUUCGGGAACCACCACAUGUUUGUCAUCCCAGCUGCAAUCUUUCUUGACUUCGGAUAGAAUAUCCUCGGUGAUCGAGCAGAUGUACCUCGAGACCUCCUCACACCGGCCUAGUACGGAGGAGGGCUUUUCGACUUUAAAAUCAGCAAUUACCAGGCAUCCCCCCGGGAUGAACAUUUUUACGGGAUGUUUCAGUGCUGGUUCCUUGACAGUAGUGCAUGAAUUGGUCUCUUCGGUAGCCGGCCGCGAGAUAGAAGGAGUUUCUUUUUGGAAAACGGUUUUUGAAGUUUUUGGCAUUUCUUUAUAGAGAGGAAAUAAGAAAAAAGAGGAAGUUAAAAGAGUUCACUCAAUGGUUUGAGAAAAAGUCGAAUGAGAGUUCUUAUAAAAAAUCUCAAAGUAACGAGAAUAUAAGUACUUGGAAGUAUUGAAAUUUCUUAGGAACGAGGGCAGAAGGUUUGAAUGUAAAGUUUGGAUGAACAAAUGAGGGGGUAUUUAUAGUUUUCCAAUGACGAUUCAUAUUUAGGAGUGGCCGACCAGCAAUUGACAAGCGUUUAAUGCCAUUAAGACUAGAUUGACGAGAUAUUUUGACGGUUUUGUCGUUUUUGUCGGGUGAUAUCAAAGAAAGAAUCGGAAGCUCAUGUCGUUUCUCGUCGUCUACUCUCCGAAAAACGAGGGGACUAUCUGUGUACGGUCGAAAUCGAGCUCGCCUACGACAUGACAAGUUAGGAACAUGACAACCAAAGACUGAAGAUCGACCCGAGUCCCACCGAGCUAGAACCCGGGGUCAUAACGCCCGCCUUCGAGAACAUUGAGUCCGUAAUCCCGGAGUCGACCUUAGCCCCGAUCGAGCUCGAAGAAACGUUGUUGGCAUAACCAACAGAAGACCGAAAUAUUCGUGAUCGGUCGGAUAUUACGGCGGGAAUCUCGGCACGUAUCAACAAGGCACCGACAAUCAUCAAAUCAAGAGAUUUUUUACCUUUUAUAGAAUUUUACCUAAAGUAGGACUCAUCUACUAUAUAAAGGGGGUCUGAUAAUUCAUUAGAUACAUUGUAACACACAUUCCAAAGCUAUAUACCAUUAUUAUUUUAAGCUCUUGUUCUUCUGUAUCCUGGCACCGAUCGGAGCGCACCUGAUUCGAGGGUGAUUAACCUCUCAUGACUAAGAUUGUUCAAUUCGUGUGGUUUGCAUUUACUUUAUCAUUAUUUAUUUUAAUUGCAAUUUAAUUUAUCGUUUUGUGUCAAGUUAGUUCACGUAUCCUUAAAACCACUUACAAAUUCAAUUGUUAUCCAAUUUUGAGGGUAAAUAGAGAUAAAAUUGGAAAAAAAGAGAAGAAAUUACUACAAGUAGCAGGAUAUCAUAGUAUUCAAUAAAUUGAAAGGGUACAAUCUUUUGAAGAGAAAGAUAGUGAACAUACAUGAGUACUACUAAACUAGAAAUGAUCGAAACAUUAGAAGAUGCAACAAAAGCUUCAUCCAUCUUCUCCAAGAACGCAUCAUAUUUAUUCCAUCUCGUAUGUCCCAUAUCCUUCAUCCUGCUACCCUUAAUAAGGUCACUCACAAAUCUUACUGCACCCUGCAACAUUUAUAAACCGACGACCAAAGAAGAAUUAGAGAAAAAUGAACAAACUCAAUGGUGUAAUUUCUGGUAAGUUGAAGCUCAAAGCAGUUUCAAUCUUAUAAUUCAUUUUUUUUUAAUCAUAGAUUCAGUCUUUAAAUUAGUAUACAUUUAAAAUUAAAUUUUGGGUUUUGCUAACAUAUUGACUGUUUUUCCAUGAUUUGCCCUUUAAGUUAACCUCGCAUUUUUAUUACUUGAGAGUCAUAUUAAUUUGUACAUCUAAACCAAAGUAGUUAUUAUGUGAGGCAUACUUGUUUAUUUGACACGUGACUUAUGAGACUCAAUUGUAGGAGAAAACCAAUAAUAGGUCCUAAGGAGGAAUGGAGGAAAAAGUGGUGGCAGUAUUUUUUUUUCUGGAGAGGCGAAAGGCAUCUAAUUGAAAAAGAGAAGAAUGAAAUGACAAAAAUAUUUAUAUAUUUUAUGUGCAGCCAGGAUUAUUAAUUUUCAAAAGCGUAAUGAAGAGGGUGUUAACCUGCAGUACUCAUGUAGUAUUACAAAAUUAAAGGUGCGUAUUAGAUACGUACGUGGAGCAGUCAAUGGAAGGGCUAAUCUUGUAGGGAAGGUUGACACCACAUUUGCUAGGGAGACUACCAGCAAGAUUGAAGUUGAUGCCACUGAUGCUUGCAGCAGCAGAUUUAAUACAGUUACACGCCGCCUGGCGAUCAGGAGUGGUGGUAGCUUGGUUGUUGAGGGCCUUAAUCCCACUGCAGCAUGGUGCUGGAAGAGCUCCACCUUGCCUCACGUAGUUGAUGCAAGGUGACAACCUCGUAACAACUUGCCCACAUGAGAUGGCAGCAUCUGCAUGAGGAGUUAGCAUUACAGACGUUGCUGCUGCAAUGCACAUUACUACCAACAAUGCUACCUUCACCAUUUUUGAAUGAGCUAGUUUUAAGAUGAGUAUUUGCUAACAAGGGAAAUAGUGUUUUGUUUAUGCAAAUUCUACUUGGUGUGUGAAGAAGGGUUGUGAAAGAGCUCUUUAUUAUAUAGAAGAAUUUGUAACUAAGUAUAUUGUUGUCUGCAGAGUUAUUAUUCUCACUAGCUGGAUUCUUGGACGGUUGGUAGUUGAGUACAAUUUAAUGCUUUGCUCUUCAUGUAUCUUUCCCUUUUUUUUUUUGGGGGGGGGGGGGGGGCGGGGGGACCUAAUUUAAUUUAGUGUACGAAUCACUAGCUAGAUUUUGUUAAGUCUUGGCUAUUUUUCCUUUCAUCUUCUUAUUUGCUUUUGUUGUUUUCCCCUUUUUAUAUAUCUUGGUGGUCUAAUUAUUAGUACACACAUUAUGUUCCAAUUUAAUUGACACUGUUUCCUUUUCCAAUUAAUACCAAAUAUUUCUCGCUAAAAGGUAGUAUAUUUCUAUGAACUGGUAUAAAAUAAAACGUUACGUUGAAUCUAUAUAGGGAUUUACAUGAUUUCUAGAUGCAAAUAGUACUAGAUAAAACUCUACUGUCCUGUGUCCAUAUUCAAAAACCUUGAUGGUCAUGUUCACUAAGAUUAAUGAUAAUACUAGCUUUAUUCUUCUAUUUAAGGAAAUCGUGUAGGGAUUAGUGAUAUGAUUUGUUGUGAACAGUCCAGAUAAUCUUUUACUUUUAUGAUACUAGAACUUUUACUUUAGAUGUUUCCAGUUGUACUUUCGUAUAUGGCAUUAUCCAUCAUAACUUGUUGGCUGGGUGGGAGAACUGUAAGUCUUUUAAUUCUUAGGCGUCGUUUGGUUAUCAGGAUUAGGAUUAUAAUCUCAAGAUAGAGUUUGGGUUGUAAUUGUCCCAAGUUUGAUUAUGGAUAUUAGUUAAUACUGAUACAAAUUUUAUACCAAAUUAGUGGUAUUAACUAUCACAAAUAGAAUGUAGAAUAAGAAUCUCAGGAUUAUAAUUUGAAAAUUAUUAAUCCCUGAAUAUCCCACUUUACAACCAAAUGACCCCUGAACAGUAUAAGUUCUUGCAUUUCUGUAAUUUCUUUUACUUUUCCAACUACCCCUUCCAGCUAUAACAUGUUCAUGUCAUGUUAGGUGAAAGAUGGAACAGAUCAGAUGCAUUCUGAGGGAAUGUGCUAGUAGCCUAGUACGUUAAGGACCCCUUGAUGUUCUAUUUGAUUUAAUAAUUACCCUCUCCCUUUCAGUUAUGUGUCAAAAUUUGGCCGCACAGGAGUUUAAGAAAUUACCCCCUCUGUAUGUUAGUAACAAGUAUAAAUAUAAACAUAAUUUUGUUUAAUCGUAAAAGAAAAGAUAAACAUGUAUACGAAUUUUACAUAUUGAUGAAAUAAAAUAGUGUAAAUAUUUACAUAAAAUAGAGCUAAUAUGAAUUUCAUUUUCAUUAUUAUAAUUUUCUAUAAAAUAUUUGGACCCAUAAUUUUAAACGUUCAAUGAGUUAAAAUUAUGGAUCCGCUCAUGCAUAUUUAUACUUGUGAGUUGUGAAUACUUAAAUAUGGUUUCCAACUUCCUUGUUUCAUUUCUCAUAGAACUAGUUUUUCCAACUUUCCGGGUUGCUUCUAAAUUUUGGUGUGUGUUCAGAAAGGAGGGGCAAGUUCGAGGUUAUAAUAUGAUUAUAGAUGGAAACGCUUUGUAGUUACGCUCAAAAUUAAGUAUAAAGAAGAUAAAGCCUUAUAUCAAUUAUUUUAUAUCCUUAGAAGAAAGUUUCUUGGCAUUUUUAUUUUUUCCUAUUUCUACUUUUAUGAAGUUUCUUUCUUUUCUACAACCGAUAAAAAUCGUGGUUUUAGAAGAUGCAUAUGUAGAAAGCUGGGAGCAGAAUCUGACGUACUGCUAAAAUUAAGAGAACUUAAGAAUUGGCCCGUUUAAAGAGAUCUAAUGCUAGACUCCCUAAAAGAAAGAAAGUCAUGUAUGGAUACUCAUUCCACUAGAGCAUAAAUUACUAAAAGUAGCAGGAUAUCAUAUAUUCAAUAGAUUGAAAUGGAAAGGGUACAAUUUUAUGAAGCUCUUAAUAGCAAGAUGAUGAACAUACACACAACUACUAGACUAUAAAAUUGACGUCCGAACAAAUUAAAGGAAACAUAAAGAGUGCUGCGAAAACUUCAUCCAUCUAGUCCAAGCAACUAGUAUUAUUUAUUCCAUCUUGUAUGCCCUAUAUAUUCUGCGUCUUGCUACCAUGCAUAAAUUAUUUCACAAAUCUUACUGCACCCUGCAAUAUUCAUAAUCAACCAAAAUAAUUAAGAAAAGCGGAAAUAAUAAUUUUUGUUAUGCCAUACAUAUAUUUAGUUUAAAAGUCUUUCUCAUAUAUUCUAAAAUUUCGUAACAAGUGUUGUAGCUAAAAUUAACAUAAAUGAAACUGAUACGGAGUGAAUACUUACGUGGAGCAGUCAAUGGAAGGGCUAAUCUUGUAGGGAAGGUUGACACCACAUUUGCUAGGGAGACUACCAGCAAGACUGAAGUUGAUGCCA